This 253-nucleotide ribosomal RNA is filed under the name uncultured bacterium. RNAcentral describes it as "partial 16S ribosomal RNA". It matches the Rfam family "Bacterial small subunit ribosomal RNA", at positions 524 to 776 of the family's 1533-position model. The record is from RNAcentral.
UACGAAGGGGGCUAGCGUUGCUCGGAAUCACUGGGCGUAAAGCGCACGUAGGCGGAUUGCUAAGUCAGGGGUGAAAUCCUGGAGCUCAACUCCAGAACUGCCUUUGAUACUGGCGAUCUUGAGUCCGGGAGAGGUGAGUGGAACUGCGAGUGUAGAGGUGAAAUUCGUAGAUAUUCGCAAGAACACCAGUGGCGAAGGCGGCUCACUGGCCCGGAACUGACGCUGAGACGCGAAAGCGUGGGGAGCAAACAGG